This 305-nucleotide ribosomal RNA is filed under the name uncultured bacterium. RNAcentral's name for it is "partial 16S ribosomal RNA". It matches the Rfam family "Bacterial small subunit ribosomal RNA", at positions 508 to 808 of the family's 1533-position model. The record is from RNAcentral.
ACAGCAGUCGCCGCGGGAAUACGGAGGGGGCUAGCGUUGUUCGGAAUUACUGGGCGUAAAGCGCACGUAGGCGGCUUGGUAAGUUAGAGGUGAAAGCCUGGAGCUCAACUCCAGAAUUGCCUUUAAGACUGCCGAGCUAGCAGGUGAGAGAGGUAAGUGGAAUUCCGAGUGUAGAGGUGAAAUUCGUAGAUAUUCGGGAGGAACAUCAGUGGCGAAGGCGGCCAUCUGGGACAACACUGACGCUGAGGCACGAAAGCGUGGGGAGCAAACAGGAUUAGAUACCCGUGUAGUCCCUGUCUCUUAUA